CCUCUGAUGUCAGUAUGGGUUUUGCCUGUGGAAGGAGUAAAUGAGGCCCUUAGGAUUACAGUGCUCCAUAGGUUUUAGGAGAGGGGAGCUUUUUAUGUUGCUUCAGUGAGGGUGUGUGAGAGGGUUUGAUAGAAAACUUUCUAGCUCAGCUCUCUUGGUUACUUUUUCCAUGAAAGGUAACAGAUGGUCAUUGUGACGUGAACGUUAUUCCAAUAUCCACAGAGGAGGAAAAAGGACCAGCGUGAUCCAAACUUACAGAAGGGUGGAUGGAGCUGUUCCUGCUGCCCCCAAAGUUCAAGCCCCCAUCAGAGGAGCUGCAGCCAUCAGCGUGGGAGAGGAGAGAUGGGCUGCUGUUAUUCAUGUUUUUACAUGGCUGGGUUCCACUCUGGCAGACGGGAGAGACUGAAGUCUGAAAGCCGUGGGCUGAUAAGCGGUUUUUGAGAGAUAAGAUAUGAAAGACUCUGUAAUUCUGGAAGAGAGUGUUGAGUAGUUUAUAUGUGUAAGUCCAGAUGUUCAGAAGAAGGAGCUGUUCCAACCCUUCAGCUGAGAAUGUCUGCUUGCACAUGUAUGGUCGGAUGUGCUCAUGGCAAUGGCCAAGCAAUGUGGUCCCCAGGAGCAGCAAAUGGAGCACUGAGAUCUCUGUGGAACUCAGGGAAACCACAGGGUUAAUGCUCAGGUAGUGUCCCAUUUCCAUCUUGCUUUGACCGAUGUAUUCCACUGAGAAGACGAGGAUGUUUUCUGAUCACAGGAGCUGCACACCUCUUGGUCUCAGGGGCUGCCUUGCUGGUCCCAUGGGACUCUAAUUUACUACUGGCCCAUUAAAUGCUACCUACAUGUGGCUGGUGUGAAUGCCUAAGUCUUCCAGAACAGAGAGAGACUUAGGGAUAGACUCCCUGCCUUCUCCCCUGAAUAAUGAGCAAUGUGUAAAGUAGCUCUCCACUCACAUCUGAUGGAGCUAAGGUGACAGUGGCCACUGAAGGCAGGAAGAGGGUUUGUCUCUGCCUCUAGUGUCAGGCUUUGGAGCACAGCUCUGGGAUUUGGGUAUAUAACCUGCUGACCAGCAAAGCUGUGUGAGUAUACCUCUUCCAGAAAGUGCUUUUCUUGCAGAGGGAAGGUUUGUGUCCAGAACAGCUGGACCACUUAACUGCUCUUGAAUGUGAAUCAUAGCUGAAGGAGGGCUGCAUUUAACUAGAAGUGUAUCUUAUCAGCAGCCCAUGUCUCAAACAUGCAGUCACAGGCUGUUUGAGUCAGAGAUUCAGGGCCAGGUUCCCAGGAUCUGUCAAUUGGGGAUAGCUUCCCUAAAAUGGAUAUAGCUGUAUUGAUUUAAAUAGGGUGGGAAUUUAGCCCUGAAUAUUCUGCAAGUACAUGAACUGUCAUUGGCCACAAUUUUUCCAAGGAGGCACAUCGUUUUUUAUUGUGAGGAAGAUCAUUGCAGACAGGGAAACAGAUAAGCAGUUGGAUUUUCCUUUGGGCUGUGAUUUUUGGAAUAGAUGCAUUGGUUCAUCUAACAUGGGCUUGUUUAUUUGGUGUUUGUAUAGAAACAGAAAGCAUCCAUACUUAAUGAAGCCUCUUCAGAACCAAACUCCCAUAAUUUAUCUAUUUGUCUCUAAGAGGAAAUUUUAUGUGGAGGCCCUUGGACAUUUUAAUUGGUAGGCAUCACGGGGUUGUUCAUGUGUGCUCAAGGGCAGGUUAUUAUUCACCUGGAGGAUCUAAGUGAUGUGGUGGUGAUCCCUAUCUUCUCUGCAGGGUUGGAUAUCCCCCAAGGAAGCCUUUCCAAGUUUUGCCUGCUGCUUGCAUUCACAGCCUGCUGACUCUGCUGUCCCCACUGGUGGGAUGGUGACCCUGACAGGGGUGACAUGUGGUGGACAGAGGGGGGUGAUGGCCUCUUGAGCAUUCACUGUGUGUUGGACACUCUUAUGUCAUAGAGUGGCUGCUCUUUGCCUGUGGGGAUGCCCUGUUGAGAGCCAAGCAAAGCACAGUAGGCUCAUGUGGGAAAGAGAUGUCUCUGCAGGAGAUAAGGCAGGGAUGGUUAAAAUGGGGUGAGGAGAGACCCUUGGCCUGAGAGUGACCUGGCUGCUGGAGCAUGAGCAGCUCGUGGUGCUGUCAUUGUGUCCCUGUACAGCAGUACUCUACCUACCUCCUAAAAUCCUCCUCGCCUGCCACGGGCCUUCAGGCACCACCAGCUGCUCCUGCAAGCUGCAGCCACAGAGCAGCAUGACCACAGCACUCUUCUGUUCCACAUUACAGCCCGGGAUCCACCUCUGUUGCCAUUAGCGUGCAUUCCUCACUCUGAUUCACAGUGGCAUCUCUCUCUGCUCCUUAUUCAUUACCCAAGCAUCUUGGCGAGCAGCGGCCUGUUAGUGGCUUUGGUCACUUGGCACAGGCAUUGGAAUCUCAUGGUAAACCCAGAGACACUUUAUGGAGGUGUAAUAUCUUGGUUUUGGUUCCCAUUGCAUUUUUGUAGCACAGAGGCCAAAAACACAUCAAAGAAAUGAAUCUGGCAGCGAGCACCAACCCUAAAUUCAUUACACUCCAAUUAGGCUGUUAAGAAGAGAUAAAAGAAGCAGCAAAACUGAAUGUCCUCCUCAAUUUCUGUUUGCUGAGGUUACUUCUCUCUUUUGUGGUCUGGGUCCCUGGGUAUCUUAGUCCACCAGGACCAGUGGUGGUGUGUGCUUAGGGGCAGCUGAGGCAUCCUUCUCAUUAAAGCCAUGAUUGGAUCAAAGUGCUUUAGACAGUCCCCAAGGAAGAGUGAAAGAUUUUUCUUUUUGUGCCUCCCUUUGGGACGAACAGCUUUUUCACUAUUUCACCUCCUUGUCCUGGUCCCCUCCUUCUCUCUGCAGUUAGUGAUGGAUGUGGAUUCCUUGCUGCAAAGCAUGAAGGCUGAGACUUUGGGCAGCUGAGGGAAUGGGCAUUGUCUCUUGCAGCAUCCUUUGCUUGGAUGGAAUGUCUACAGCUGUCCCUUAGUCAGGGUCAUUCCUCUGAGGACAAGAACAAAGCAACAAUUACUAAGAUAUGGAUAUCAAGAAAGAAAAUCAGUAGCUUGGUUGCAGCUUGGGGAUUUGGGUGAUGAAAUAUUGCAUUCCAGUAUCCCCUCUCAAUGGUUUAUUAAAAUCUCUUUAAAUUGUGUACCACUGUUUCUUCCCAUGGCACCAAGUACAGGAACAUCCACGGCUUGAGUGGCAGCAGCAUCCAUUACUGUUAGCUCCUGGCAGAAGUAAUUGCAAGUAAAGUGUAGCCAUAUAAGCUAUGACCAGAGUCUUCUUCAUUCCUUUGUGUUUGGGAGACCAUGUCUGCAUGGAGCUGGAACUCUCCUAGACACUUCAGACCCAAGACACUUAUUCUUUAGAUAUGUGGAAAUCUGUGACAAAACCAAGCAGCUCACACAGACUUUCUAUGAUGGAAGACAACACAGGGAGCAUCACUGCAGCUGCAACACAGCACACUCCUGUUUCCAGGCCAAAGUCACUACACCUCCCACCAUCUGUGCUGCACAAAAACAGGACCAGAAGCACAAAAACAGGACCAGAGCCCUACGUGGAGAUGGGAUGAGGAAACAGCCUACCCAUCCACAAACACAGCCACCUCUGCCUGAAGGAUGUGGCCCCAGGACAGGAUGCA
Passer domesticus (house sparrow) is the source of this 3618-nucleotide long non-coding RNA. RefSeq lists it as uncharacterized. The transcript has 4 exons. The record is from RefSeq and is a predicted model, not a curated record. NCBI's taxonomy places the organism in Eukaryota, Metazoa, Chordata, Aves, Passeriformes, Passeridae.